Haliotis rufescens (red abalone) is the source of this 247-nucleotide long non-coding RNA. RefSeq lists it as uncharacterized. NCBI's taxonomy places the organism in Eukaryota, Metazoa, Mollusca, Gastropoda, Lepetellida, Haliotidae. The record is from RefSeq and is a predicted model, not a curated record. The transcript is spliced from 4 exons.
GCUACCACAAAACAAAGGGAAAAACAGAUUUCAAUCGUACUACCCAUAUGACUACAACCGGGUGGUGUUAAACGAUGGCCAGACCAGCAACUACAUCAAUGCCAGCUACAUGGACGGCUACAAGACUGAGAGGAAAUACAUCGCUGCACAAGGGCCCUACAAGCCCGAUGUUGUUGAGGAUUUCUGGAGGAUGAUCUGGCGGGAAGGAUGCACUACGAUCGUCAUGGUGACGGGACUCGAGGAAGGG